CAACACUCACCCGCCACAGUCCGGCUCCAUUUGGUUCUUCUGCUGUCGGUGAUGCUGUAUGAAGAUGGCAAGAGCCACGCCAAGGAUGAGGACAAUGGUCACGGUACCCCCUAGAAACCUGGCCACAUUUCCAGGGUCUUCCUGGGGGAGGGGCUUUUCUAGAGCCGAGAGAGGAAGGUGGAGAGAGAGAGAGGUUGAGAGAGAGAGAGAGAGAGAAAGAGAGGGAGAGGACUCUCGGAGUCGGAGAGGUGGGCACAAAGCAAGAGAACCAGACCCUGAGGCAGUGCCCCAGCCUGGUCCCCCUCCCCCUCCCCUGUCGUGCCCCUCCUCCAUCCCGCUCCAGUUCUGGGAGGGGCUGGCCCAGUUAGGGUGGGGUAGACCUCCUACUCUGGCUCCCCAGGGCCCCAUAAUCUCAGACUCUGAUCUGGGGAUCUGGGGCAUGGGGGUGGCGGGUGGGGAGCCAGGGCAGGCAGAGGGGUGCUCAGAGAUGGGGGUCCCCACCCCCUAAUUCUAUCUCUGGCCCUGCAGGGAAGAUUCCUGUUGAGGAGUUUAAUUUUCUUCCCCUCCCUGCCCAAUUAAACAAGCAAAUGAACUAAUUGGUGCUUUGCCCUCCCAGCUCUGGAGAGGGAGGGAGGACCGGAGGGAAGGCAGAAACGCCGAGACUGCAGGGGGACCCUGGGUUGGUGGCAAACCACGUUUGUCCAGCGUGGAAGCUGAAGAACUCAGAGGGCCUCCGUCUAAGCCCUGGGGGCUGUCUGGACAUACCUGGCUGUUCUCCCAGGAGCAUUAGCCCCACGGUCAGGAGUGGGGCUGGGGUGCAGGAGCUCCUCGCCACCUGCUCUGUGGUGGGUGGGACAAAUCACGCAAUCUCUCUGGGCCUGGGAAAGCAAGGCGUCCUGGGGGCUUGUGAAGGUUUGUUGACUGAUUUCCCAGCCUGAGCCAGAGCCACUGGCUGUCCCUGAGGGCGAAGACGCCACGGGGCUGCUGGAAAGGCGUCUAUGGCAGGAAAGUGGGGAGCACACGCUGCUUUCUGGCCUGGCCCUGCUGCCCCAGGUUGGCAUGCAAGGCCACGGCCAUGCCAGGCUUUCUUUUCCCUCCCUCUGCUGGGCUCCAUUUCUCACCUCUGACCCUUACAUCAUGCAGGGAGGAAGGGACUGGUGGGAAAAUCAUAAAUGCUUCCUCCCCUCUUUCCUCCCUGCACCGUAUUAUAUAUAAUUAAACACAAGAGCACCUGAAUAGGGAUGCUAAAUUGCAGUUUGCAAUAAACACCACGGAGCCAAUUUUCCUGAAGCGGGAUUGACAAGCACCCGCCUCUNACACCCCCCCGCCUCUCUCUGCUCCAUCCCAGUGCCCUGACUGAGGCGGUGCCCGGGGGAGACCUCAGCACCAGCCUGGCUCCCAGCGAGUCCGCAGCCCCUCUCUGGCUGGGCUCCUGUCCAUCCCCAGCCGGUGGGCUGUGGCCCCAUUGGGAGGGCGGUGUCUGUGUGUAUCAUGGGGACUCAGGAGCCCCAGACACCCUGGACCCUGUGCCAGCACCGUCUCUUCUUGACUGUCACAGCCCCCUGGGUGGGGAUAACUGCCAUCAGUUAAACAAACCUGCCCCCUUUGCUCCAAACCGUAGCAUCUUAGUACCCACCCCACCCUCCUUCCUGGCCUUUCUUCUUUUUUUUUUUAAAUUUUUUUUUUCAACGUUUAUUUAUUUUUGGGACAGAGAGAGACAGAGCAUGAACGGGGGAGGGGCAGAGAGAGAGGGAGACGCAGAAUCGGAAGCAGGCUCCAGGCUCUGAGCCAUCAGCCCAGAGCCUGACGCGGGGCUCGAACUCACAGACCGCGAGAUCGUGACCUGGCUGAAGUCGGACGCUUAACCGACUGCGCCACCCAGGCGCCCCUGGCCUUUCUUCUUUAUCCUCAAACCUUCCUGCUUCCUCCCCUGCCGUCUUCCAACUCUGCUUCUCCUUUGGUUUUGCAGGUACUCCUUUGCUCCUCUGCUGCGUUCCAGGCACUGUUCUGGUGCCGGGCAACAGAGAGGCACAGGCCCUGCCUCUGAACGCCGCUGGGUCCCAUUCAUCUUCCUUCUGCCUCGUGGACAGUUCGCAAGUACGGCUGCGCCUCCCUGGCUCUGGUGCCUCCACGCCGGUCCACACCGCCAGCAUCCGGACCUAGCCUCCCUGCUCCCAGUCUUGUCCCCUCUGAGCCCUUCUCCACCCUGAGCCUGAGUGACCUUUCUAAAAUCAAAACUCAUCAGGCUACAUCCCUGCUUAAAACUUUCCAAGAGGCCCUCGUGGCCCCAGCAAAGUGUCUGAGCUUCAAGGCUUUGACCUGGGUCCUGCUCAUUCUGGAGGAGGUGACUCAGUGCUUCCCAUGGCUCGGCUUGUGCAGCCCACCCAGGCUAUUUGCAGUUCCCAGUGGCGGUGGCGAGGCGGGGGGGGGGGGGGGGGGGGGGGGGGGGGGGCGCGUCCCCUGCUCCCUCUCUCCGCCAGGCUUUUUCUCUCAUGCACCCUCCUUGCCAGGCCAACCAGUCCUCUGGGGGAACCCUCCCUUCUCCUUGGCUGGAAUGGGCGUCUUCCUUUUCUGAUACGACCGUGAAUGCGUGUCUGGUUGGUCUCUGUCCCCCUAGUCCUCUGCACAGCACCUAGUAUGUGGGAAGUUCUCCGGAAGGGUUGACGAAUCAGUCAAUGCUCGCUUGAACAAAGGCAGCUGGCAGUUUCUGAGCCCGCCUGUCCCUUGGAAUCUCCGCUCCCACCAGGGGGUACAGAGUCUUCAGCCCCUCUGCACUGGACCUGGGAAUUCUGUUUCUGGGGGCACAACCCAAACCUAUCUCCCCGUUUCCUCUCCGCACAGCGGAGGCAGGCUGGCACUUCAAAGGACUGGGUGGGCAGAGCAGUGGGGGAAACGAACAAAGAGGCAUUAGCACAGGUACCGGGUCUGGCUCACACGGUUCAGGUUUCUCUCCUCCCACAGCCAGCUCACCAUGGGGCUUGGGGGCAACCCCAUGGGGGAAUCCGGGCAGGAGGGAGAGACAGUUUCACAUCGGCCCUGCCUCGGCUCCCUGCUUCCAGGUGACCUCCCCCUGGAACUCUGGAGCCACUUUAGCAGAAGAGGGAGGCAGCUGUCCUUCUAAGGGGCCUUCUGUCGUGCUUACAGUACAGACAAUAGCAUGGUAAGUGAGACUGUGAAUGCACCAGUGUGGGCAUCGGGGAAAGGAUCAUAAUGGGUGGGAUGCUGUGGGCAAGGCCUCAAAGGUGCCAGGACCAGAGUGGAUAACUCUGGUUUUGUUCCCUCCCAGCUGCCCUCUCUGCAUGUCCCACCCUCACAAAAUAGGAGCGCAAGAUCCCAAGAGCCCCUGGGCCCUGCCUGAUCCCCCUGGAGGGUGCCCCCCUGGUGGAAGAAAUAAUAGCAGCGGAAGAAUGAGAAAUGGAGACUAAGGAAAGACAAGCAGAAGAGAUUGGCCUGAAGUCUGGGCCAGGCACCUGGGCUGAUGUGGGGUUGGUUUGAUCCUCACAUCAAGCCUGUAACAUUAGAUAA
This 3525-nucleotide long non-coding RNA is filed under the name Lynx pardinus (Iberian lynx). The record is from RNAcentral. Lineage: Eukaryota; Metazoa; Chordata; Mammalia; Carnivora; Felidae.